AUGAAACUGUUGUCACAAGACCACAAAAAGUACAUCAUAUCAGAAACCAGUCUUGGCGGUCUAACCCAGAUGCAUGAAGUGACUCUACGGCGCAUAAUGUUGGUUAGACUAGCCAAGAGCAUAGAUAUGGACACGCAAUCCAUUACCAUCGGUAAAACACCAAUUCCUAUAACAAAAGAGGACGUGCAAGGUAUAUUUGGCAUUCCGAUAGAAGGGGAGGAUAUAGAGUCACAUCUGGAAAUGCAAACCGAUACAGAAUUGUUUACUGCCUAUGCAAACUAUGGGCAAAUUUUGAUUUCUGACCUUGAAACGGCGAUCCGAGCUUCCAAAGCCCCAGACGGCGAUUUCCUGAGACGGUUCAUUCUGUACACAAUUGGUACUGUUCUAGCACCAACAUCACAACAUUAUGUGGACUCGAAAUUUCUCAACCUUGUUACAGAUCUUGAAAACCUUCGGAAAUUUAACUGGGGAUGUUUCACACUUAAUCACUUCUUCAAGUCCAUUCACAAGUUUAGAAAUCGAGAUCACGUAAAUCUACAAGGAAAUCUAAUUCUUCUCCAGUAUUGGUACUGGGAGCACGUGCGUAGUGGCAGAUUAAUGUAUGCUUCGAGACCCCCUCCAUUGAUCGCACGA
This 633-nucleotide ribosomal RNA is filed under the name Triticum aestivum (bread wheat). RNAcentral's name for it is "partial small subunit ribosomal RNA". The record is from RNAcentral. Lineage: Eukaryota; Viridiplantae; Streptophyta; Magnoliopsida; Poales; Poaceae.